Molecule: ribosomal RNA, 376 nt
Filed under: uncultured bacterium
Lineage: Bacteria
Description: bacterial SSU rRNA
Rfam family: Bacterial small subunit ribosomal RNA
Source: RNAcentral
UAAUACAGAGGGUGCGAGCGUUAAUCGGAAUUACUGGGCGUAAAGGGUGCGUAGGUGGUUGCUUAAGUUAUAUGUGAAACCCCCGGGCUUAACCUGGGAAUGGCGUAUAAAACUGAAUAACUAGAGUUUGGGAGAGGGAAGUGGAAUUUCCAGUGUAGCGGUGAAAUGCGUAGAUAUUGGAAGGAACACCAGUGGCGAAGGCGACUUCCUGGCCCGAUACUGACACUGAGGCACGAAAGCGUGGGUAGCGAACAGGAUUAGAUACCCUGGUAGUCCACGCCGUAAACGAUGAGAACUAGAUGUUAGGUGGCUUGACCACUUAGUAUCGAAGCAAACGCGAUAAGUUCUCCGCCUGGGGAGUACGGCCGCAAGGUUA